GACGAACGCUGGCGGCGUGCUUAACACAUGCAAGUCGAACGGAAAGGCCCCUUUGGGGGUCCUCGAGUGGCGAACGGGUGAGUAACACGUGAGUAACCUGCCCUUGACUUCGGGAGAACUACAGGAAACUGGGGCUAAUACCGGAUAGGAAUCCUUGCUGCAUGGUGGGGGUUGGAAAGCUUCGGCGGUUUUGGAUGGACUCGCGGCUUAUCAGCUUGUUGGUGGGGUAGUGGCUUACCACGGCUUUGACGGGUAGCCGGCCUGAGAGGGCGACCGGCCACAUUGGGACUGAGAUACGGCCCAGACGCCUACGGGCGGCAGUAGUGGGGAAUAUUGCACAAUGGGGGGGAGCCUGAUGCAGCAACGCCGCGUGCGGGAUGACGGGCUUCGGGUUGUAAACCGCUUUCAGCAGGGGCGAAGCUUGUGGUGACGGUACCUGCAGAAGAAGCACCGGCUAACUACGUG
This 465-nucleotide ribosomal RNA is filed under the name uncultured bacterium. RNAcentral describes it as "partial 16S ribosomal RNA". It matches the Rfam family "Bacterial small subunit ribosomal RNA", at positions 28 to 507 of the family's 1533-position model. The record is from RNAcentral.